Molecule: ribosomal RNA, 715 nt
Filed under: Marinobacter sp.
Lineage: Bacteria; Pseudomonadati; Pseudomonadota; Gammaproteobacteria; Pseudomonadales; Marinobacteraceae
Description: bacterial SSU rRNA
Rfam family: Bacterial small subunit ribosomal RNA
Source: RNAcentral
AUUGAACCGCGGCGGCAGGCUUAACACAUGCAAGUCGAGCGGUAACAGAUCUAGCUUGCUAGAUGCUGACGAGCGGCGGACGGGUGAGUAAUGCAUAGGAAACUGCCCAGUAGUGGGGGAUAGCCCGGGGAAACCCGGAUUAAUACCGCGUACGCCCUUCGGGGGAAAGCAGGGGAUCUUCGGACCUUGCGCUAUUGGAUGUGCCUAUGUCGGAUUAGCUAGUUGGUGGGGUAAAGGCCUACCAAGGCGACGAUCCGUAGCUGGUCUGAGAGGAUGAUCAGCCACAUCGGGACUGAGACACGGCCCGAACUCCUACGGGAGGCAGCAGUGGGGAAUAUUGGACAAUGGGGGCAACCCUGAUCCAGCCAUGCCGCGUGUGUGAAGAAGGCUUUCGGGUUGUAAAGCACUUUCAGUGAGGAGGAAAACUCUGCGACUAAUACUCGUAGGGCUUGACGUUACUCACAGAAGAAGCACCGGCUAACUCCGUGCCAGCAGCCGCGGUAAUACGGAGGGUGCAAGCGUUAAUCGGAAUUACUGGGCGUAAAGCGCGCGUAGGUGGUUUGAUAAGCGAGAUGUGAAAGCCCCGGGCUUAACCUGGGAACGGCAUUUCGAACUGUCAGGCUAGAGUGUGGUAGAGGGUAGUGGAAUUUCCUGUGUAGCGGUGAAAUGCGUAGAUAUAGGAAGGAACACCAGUGGCGAAGGCGGCUACCUGGAC